RNAcentral lists this ribosomal RNA (393 nucleotides) under uncultured bacterium. RNAcentral describes it as "partial 16S ribosomal RNA". It matches the Rfam family "Bacterial small subunit ribosomal RNA", at positions 523 to 918 of the family's 1533-position model. The record is from RNAcentral.
AUACGGAGGACGCGAGCGUUAUCCGGAUUCAUUGGGUUUAAAGGGUGCGCAGGCGGCCGUGCAAGUCAGCGGUGAAAGCCCGGGGCCCAACCCCGGAAGUGCCGUUGAUACUGCAUGGCUUGAAUGCGGUCGAGGCGGGCGGAACGUGGCGGGUAGCGGGGAAAUGCUGAGAUAUGCCACAGAACGCCGAUAGCGGAGGCAGCUCGCCAGGCCUGCAUGGACGCUCGGGCACGAAAGCGUGGGGAUCGAACAGGAUUAGAUACCCUGGUAGUCCACGCCGUAAACGAUGGGCGCUCGUCGUCGGCGGCAGACAGUCGGCGGCCAAGCGAAAGCGAUAAGCGCCCCACCUGGGGAGUACGGUCGCAAGGCUGAAACUCAAAUGAAUUGACGGGG